GAAAUAGUGCUGGAGUCCUCUUGUAUCUGCACUCUGCAGGUCAGGUCCACCAGACUUUGUCAUGGCUCGCCAUCCGUAGAGAUACAUUUCGCCAGGAUGAAGACUAUAGAAUGCACCAUCCAUGCAGAAAAUAAUGGGGGUUAUUACACAACUCUCCGCGGCCAAGCAAAUCUCAAAGUUUAGCGUGAUGUUCGUGAAGUGUCCAACAUAAUUUGGAUAUCGACCUUUUCAGAAAGGUCAAAUGCUGAUGUUCUGAACUUGCUGUCCAAGCAGGCAGUGUUGACGUUCGGGACCAGGAUCAUUUGUCAGAGUUUUGUUGUGAUCGAUCAAAUCUAGAUAUGUUUACAACGGAGUAAGAACGGUUACAACCGAAACAAGAUUGCAACAAAAAUACCAUUUCUUAUUUUGUUGCCUUGGUAAUCAACGUUUACAAUUGACAAUAUCAACCUUCUAGUCAAUACAACCGUCUUGCAUGGAAAUCUCUAACAAUACUUCCUCUCUUCUAUAGCAAUGCAUUUUUUUUUAUUGAUUUGAAAUAUUAAAUUUUGUGUCGAUAUUUAAAUAUCGAGUUGAACUAAUCCUAAAAAAAAGUGCGUUUCGCGAUCGCGAAUAUACAACUCAGAUGUGCAUCAACAUUUUUUUAGAUAAAUCAGUUCUGAAAUAUAAUAUUAAAAAGUGUCAAAGACUUGUCAAGUAAUUAUACGAUAAACUUAAAAUUGAUUUUAAUGAUAUUCAUGACAAAUGUCAAGUAAAUCUAGAUGUCUAUCGGAAACCAAAAUAAUAAUUGACAGAAAUAUUGGUCCUCCGCAAACAUACGUCACUUUCCUCGAUAUCAAGGACUGCCUCAGUAGGCCGGCAAUGUGUGUCAAGUGAGGCGAAAGGAUAAAAAUGAUUUCAAAGCAAAUGAAAAACUAGAUUUCUUUUCUUGCUUUUUUCUUAUAAAAUUUUAUUUAAUUAUAGAACUAUUGUAAUAUAAUUUAUUACGAAUGCAUAUUCUUGUUUCCAUUAAAUGAAAAAAAAAGAAAAUUUCUAAGUGGG
Molecule: long non-coding RNA, 1038 nt
Organism: Ylistrum balloti
Lineage: Eukaryota; Metazoa; Mollusca; Bivalvia; Pectinida; Pectinidae
Exons: 2
Source: RefSeq, a predicted model, not a curated record